Molecule: ribosomal RNA, 571 nt
Filed under: Saccharomyces cerevisiae (brewer's yeast)
Lineage: Eukaryota; Fungi; Ascomycota; Saccharomycetes; Saccharomycetales; Saccharomycetaceae
Description: eukaryotic LSU rRNA
Rfam family: Eukaryotic large subunit ribosomal RNA
Source: RNAcentral
AACCGGGAUUGCCUUAGUAACGGCGAGUGAAGCGGCAAAAGCUCAAAUUUGAAAUCUGGUACCUUCGGUGCCCGAGUUGUAAUUUGGAGAGGGCAACUUUGGGGCCGUUCCUUGUCUAUGUUCCUUGGAACAGGACGUCAUAGAGGGUGAGAAUCCCGUGUGGCGAGGAGUGCGGUUCUUUGUAAAGUGCCCUCGAAGAGUCGAGUUGUUUGGGAAUGCAGCUCUAAGUGGGUGGUAAAUUCCAUCUAAAGCUAAAUAUUGGCGAGAGACCGAUAGCGAACAAGUACAGUGAUGGAAAGAUGAAAAGAACUUUGAAAAGAGAGUGAAAAAGUACGUGAAAUUGUUGAAAGGGAAGGGCAUUUGAUCAGACAUGGUGUUUUGUGCCCUCUGCUCCUUGUGGGUAGGGGAAUCUCGCAUUUCACUGGGCCAGCAUCAGUUUUGGUGGCAGGAUAAAUCCAUAGGAAUGUAGCUUGCCUCGGUAAGUAUUAUAGCCUGUUGGGAAUACUGCCAGCUGGGACUGANGACUGCGACGUAAGUCAAGGAUGCUGGCAUAAUGGUUAUAUGCCGCCCC